This 403-nucleotide ribosomal RNA is filed under the name Vairimorpha ceranae. RNAcentral describes it as "SSU rRNA". It matches the Rfam family "Microsporidia small subunit ribosomal RNA", at positions 58 to 455 of the family's 1311-position model. Lineage: Eukaryota; Fungi; Microsporidia; Nosematidae. The record is from RNAcentral.
UUUUGACAUUUGAAAAAUGGGACUGCUCAGUAAUACUCACUUUAUUUUAUGUAAAUUUUUAAUUAACUACGUUUAAAGUGUAGAUAAGAUGUUUACAGUAAGAGUGAGACCUAUCAGCUAGUUGUUAAGGUAAUGGCUUAACAAGGCUGUGACGGGUAACGGUAUUACUUUGUAAUAUUCCGGAGAAGGAGCCUGAGAGACGGCUACUAAGUCUAAGGAUUGCAGCAGGGGCGAAACUUGACCUAUGGAUUUUAUCUGAGGCAGUUAUGGGAAGUAAUAUUAUAUUGUUUCAUAUUUUAAAAGUAUAUGAGGUGAUUAAUUGGAGGGCAAAUCAAGUGCCAAGCAGCCGCGGUAAUACUUGUUCCAAGAAGUGUGUAUGAUGAUUGAUGCAGUUAAAAAGUCC